AUUGAACGCUGGCGGCAGGCCUAACACAUGCAAGUCGAGCGGAUGAAGGGAGCUUGCUCCUGGAUUCAGCGGCGGACGGGUGAGUAAUGCCUAGGAAUCUGCCUGGUAGUGGGGGAUAACGUCCGGAAACGGGCGCUAAUACCGCAUACGUCCUGAGGGAGAAAGUGGGGGAGCUUCGGACCUCACGCUAUCAGAUGAGCCUAGGUCGGAUUAGCUAGUUGGUGGGGUAAAGGCCUACCAAGGCGACGAUCCGUAACUGGUCUGAGAGGAUGAUCAGUCACACUGGAACUGAGACACGGUCCAGACUCCUACGGGAGGCAGCAGUGGGGAAUAUUGGACAAUGGGCGAAAGCCUGAUCCAGCCAUGCCGCGUGUGUGAAGAAGGUCUUCGGAUUGUAAAGCACGUUAAGUUGGGAGGAAGGGCAGUAAGUUAAUACCUUGCUGUUUUGACGUUACCAACAGAAUAAGCACCGGCUAACUUCGUG
Molecule: ribosomal RNA, 484 nt
Filed under: uncultured bacterium
Lineage: Bacteria
Description: partial 16S ribosomal RNA
Rfam family: Bacterial small subunit ribosomal RNA
Source: RNAcentral